Molecule: non-coding RNA, 566 nt
Filed under: Colubrina asiatica
Lineage: Eukaryota; Viridiplantae; Streptophyta; Magnoliopsida; Rosales; Rhamnaceae
Description: partial transfer RNA-Leu(UAA)
Rfam family: Group I catalytic intron (bases 1-491)
About the family: Group I catalytic introns are large self-splicing ribozymes.
Source: RNAcentral
AUGGAGGAGCUUGGUAUGGAAACUACUGAGUGAUAACUUUCAAAUUCAGAGAAACCCUGGAAUUACAAAUGGGCAAUCCUGAGCCAAAUCCUGUUUUCUGAAAACAAACAAGGAUUCAGAAAGUGAUAAUAAAAAGGGAUAGGUGCAGAGACUCAAUGGAAGCUGUUCUAACAAAUGGAGUUGGCUGCGAUGUGUUAGUAACGGAAUUCUUCCGUCGAAACUACAGAAAGGAUGAAGAAUAAACGUAUAUAUACGUACUGAAAUCCUAUCUCCAAACCAAAUGAUUAAUGACGACUCGAAUCUUUUUUUUAUUUCUAUGUUUAUAUGAAAAAUGAAAGAAUUGUUGUGAAUCGAUUCCAAGUCAAAAAAAAAAAAAAAUGGAAUAUUCAUUGGUCAAAUCAUUUACUCCAUCGUAAUCUGAUAGAUCUUUUGAAAAAUUGAUUACUCGGACGAGAAUAAAGAUAGAGUCCCAUUCUACAUGUCAAUAUCGACAACAAUGAAAUUUAUAGUAAGAGGAAAAUCCGUCGACUUUAGAAAUCGUGAGGGUUCAAGUCCCUCUAUCCCCA